This 311-nucleotide long non-coding RNA is filed under the name Vulpes vulpes (red fox). RNAcentral describes it as "lncRNA (ENSVVUG00000012532.1)". The record is from RNAcentral. Lineage: Eukaryota; Metazoa; Chordata; Mammalia; Carnivora; Canidae.
UCUCCUGCCUUCCCAGGCCCUGCAGAUCUCCUGACCUGACAGGAGUGCAUUGUCCCAGUUUCUAUCUCCUGUGACCAAGUGCCUCGCAGUGUCCUGGAACCUUUAGGAGAGGCCUGGAACUCCUCAAACGGAGGCCUUAAUGCCUGUGUAGAGUCACUGGGAGAAAAAUCAGACGGAAGCACCUCUCCCUGUAGAAAGUUCUUGUGCAGUGUUCCAGCCGACUAAAUGGGCUUGCCUUCUGCCGGGAGGCAGUCCUGGAGGACACAACUAAUGUGCAAUCUCCCAGGAAGCUCUUCAUCAGAACAUCCCUU